GAUGAACGCUGGCUCCAGGCUUAACACAUGCAAGUCGAGGGGAAACGACGGGGAAGCUUGCUUCCCCGGGCGUCGACCGGCGCACGGGUGAGUAACGCGUAUCCAACCUGCCUCUGACUGAGGGAUAACCCGUCGAAAGUCGGCCUAAUACCUCAUGGUAUCGUCUGCGGGCAUCCAACGACGAUUAAAGAUUUCAUCGGUCAGGGAUGGGGAUGCGUCUGAUUAGCUUGUUGGCGGGGUAACGGCCCACCAAGGCUACGAUCAGUAGGGGUUCUGAGAGGAAGGUCCCCCACAUUGGAACUGAGACACGGUCCAAACUCCUACGGGAGGCAGCAGUGAGGAAGAUUGGUCAAUGGGCGAGAGCCUGAACCAGCCAAGUAGCGUGCAGGAAGACGGCCCUAUGGGUUGUAAACUGCUUUUAUGCGGGGAUAAAGUGAGGGACGUGUCCCUCAUUGCAGGUACCGCAUGAAUAAGGACCGGCUAAUUCCGUG
RNAcentral lists this ribosomal RNA (491 nucleotides) under uncultured bacterium. RNAcentral describes it as "partial 16S ribosomal RNA". It matches the Rfam family "Bacterial small subunit ribosomal RNA", at positions 28 to 507 of the family's 1533-position model. The record is from RNAcentral.